This 499-nucleotide long non-coding RNA is filed under the name Trifolium pratense (red clover). Its description in RNAcentral is "long non-coding RNA (TPRA_LNC003037)". Lineage: Eukaryota; Viridiplantae; Streptophyta; Magnoliopsida; Fabales; Fabaceae. The record is from RNAcentral.
AAAGACUCCAUUUCCAUCAAUUGUACAUAGUUCAAUAAUUCUAAUAAAAGACGGAAAACAAAUAUUAUCAGAAAACAAAUGAAAAACAUAAGAGAGUAUUUAACUUAACAUUGUAGUAACAAAAUGAGAUUCAUAAAAUACAACAUGUACAUCCAUCAUCUCAUUAGCACACAAAAGCAUUAGAAAUUAAGAGAGUAAUUAUUUUUUUUUUACUUGACAAAGUAUGGAAGAUCCAAAACAUAAAGAAGGAAGUAAGCCCAAGUAACACCAGAAAUGCCUCCAAAGAAAAACCCACCAGUGAACUUGGCCCAACCAUCAGCUGUUUGAAGCGGAUCGGGCUGCUUCUUACGGCCCGUUAAGGUCAAUGAUGGUGCGGUCGAUGGAUCGCCUUCGUUGAAGGAAGAAAUCCCGUAGAUUGUUAGGGUAAGGCUAAGGAUAACAACAAGCCCGGCAGCUGCGAGAGAGCCCGCUGAUCCAGCAUAUUCGGUGUUCCUUAGAG